UGUAAAAUGAGCAAACGUUGGGUCUCGAUUCGAAAUAUAAUUAUGAAUAAAUUUUAAAAUUCGAUAAAUUACUCGAAUCUUCUUACAUUUAAAAUUUAAAUUUUUAUUGAUACACGUAUCAUAUUCGUUUGAAAGUUUAAAUUGCUCGGAGAACGAGAUUGUGAUCGGUACAGUAACUAAACGAGUCUCGGUAAAAUCUUAUUGUAUAUUUGAUAAAUUUUAUGAAUUAAAUCUGAGCAUCUCAAAUGAGUUGUUUCACUUUCAACUCAAAUUAAAAGUUCCUUUUUAUUUUGAGGAACAUCUUUAUUAAACCCGAAAUGGUACUUAUAUAUUAAUAAAUAAAAGUUUC
RNAcentral lists this long non-coding RNA (349 nucleotides) under Panax ginseng (ginseng). Its description in RNAcentral is "long non-coding RNA (PGIN_LNC006917)". The record is from RNAcentral. Lineage: Eukaryota; Viridiplantae; Streptophyta; Magnoliopsida; Apiales; Araliaceae.